GUGCUCUUGUGGCCCAUGAAAUCAAGCUUGGGUGAGACCUGGUGCAGAACAGGAAGGCGACCCAUACUUGGUUUCAGUGGCUGCAAGAAUGGCUCCAU
This is a microRNA precursor of Microtus ochrogaster (prairie vole), 98 nucleotides long. NCBI's taxonomy places the organism in Eukaryota, Metazoa, Chordata, Mammalia, Rodentia, Cricetidae. The record is from Ensembl.